Molecule: ribosomal RNA, 449 nt
Filed under: uncultured organism
Description: partial 16S ribosomal RNA
Rfam family: Bacterial small subunit ribosomal RNA
Source: RNAcentral
ACUCCUACGGGAGGCAGCAGUGGGGAAUAUUGGACAAUGGGCGCAAGCCUGAUCCAGCCAUGCCGCGUGAGUGAUGAAGGCCCUAGGGUUGUAAAGCUCUUUCACCGGUGAAGAUAAUGACGGUAACCGGAGAAGAAGCCCCGGCUAACUUCGUGCCAGCAGCCGCGGUAAUACGAAGGGGGCUAGCGUUGUUCGGAUUUACUGGGCGUAAAGCGCACGUAGGCGGACUAUUAAGUCAGGGGUGAAAUCCCGGGGCUCAACCCCGGAACUGCCUUUGAUACUGGUAGUCUUGAGUUCGAGAGAGGUGAGUGGAAUUCCGAGUGUAGAGGUGAAAUUCGUAGAUAUUCGGAGGAACACCAGUGGCGAAGGCGGCUCACUGGCUCGAUACUGACGCUGAGGUGCGAAAGCGUGGGGAGCAAACAGGAUUAGAAACCACUGUAGUCCCAUGA